AGUUUGGGAUCUAGUGAUCAUCAGUCUGUGUGGUUUAACAGUGACUGAGUCACACUACACAAAAACAAAAGUUUUAGAAAAGCUGACUUUUAUAAAAUGAGAAUAUGUGUAGAGGAGUCAUUAUCAGGCUGGGGCAAUUUAAAUGGGGUCUAGGAGAAAUUGGAUUAUUUAAAAGUUGAAUUAUUGAAGGUAGCAGAAAAUUUAAUUAGGCUGGUCAGUAAGAGCAAACAAUUAAAGAAACCACUGUGGCACUUGGCAGAAGUGGCCAAAAUAGUAAACCACAAGAAGUUAGUAUUGGUAAAUUAGUAAAGUGAGGAAGAUGGAUAGAUGUGUAAGAUUAAGCAGAAAGAGGCAAAGCAAGUCAUAAGAGCUGCCAAAACACACGCAGAA
This is a long non-coding RNA of Spea bombifrons (plains spadefoot toad), 390 nucleotides long. RefSeq lists it as uncharacterized. The record is from RefSeq and is a predicted model, not a curated record. NCBI's taxonomy places the organism in Eukaryota, Metazoa, Chordata, Amphibia, Anura, Pelobatidae. The transcript has 2 exons.